This 482-nucleotide ribosomal RNA is filed under the name uncultured bacterium. RNAcentral's name for it is "partial 16S ribosomal RNA". It matches the Rfam family "Bacterial small subunit ribosomal RNA", at positions 30 to 507 of the family's 1533-position model. The record is from RNAcentral.
AUUGAACGCUGGCGGCAUGCCUUACACAUGCAAGUCGAACGGUAACGGGCCUUCGGGUGCCGACGAGUGGCGCACGGGUGAGUAAUACAUCGGAACGUGCCCGAUCGUGGGGGAUAACGAGGCGAAAGCUUUGCUAAUACCGCAUACGAUCUACGGAUGAAAGCCGGGGACCGCAAGGCCUUGCGCGGACGGAGCGGCCGAUGGCAGAUUAGGUAGUUGGUGGGAUAAAAGCUUACGAAGCCGACGAUCUGUAGCUGGUCUGAGAGGAUGAUCAGCCACACUGGGACUGAGACACGGCCCAGACUCCUGCGGGAGGCAGCAGUGGGGAAUUUUGGACAAUGGGCGCAAGCCUGAUCCAGCCAUGCCGCGUGCAGGAUGAAGGCCUUCGGGUUGUAAACUGCUUUUGUACGGAACGAAAAGCCUUCUUUUAAUACAGGAGGGUCAUGACGGUACCGUAAGAAUAAGCACCGGCUAACUACGUG